GAGUUUGAUCGUGGCUCAGAUUGAACGCUGGCGGCAGGCCUAACACAUGCAAGUCGGGCGGUAGAGAGAAGCUUGCUUCUCUUGAGAGCGGCGGACGGGUGAGUAAUGCCUAGGAAUCUGCCUGGUAGUGGGGGAUAACGCUCGGAAACGGACGCUAAUACCGCAUACGUCCUACGGGAGAAAGCAGGGGACCUUCGGGCCUUGCGCUAUCAGAUGAGCCUAGGUCGGAUUAGCUAGUUGGUGAGGUAAUGGCUCACCAAGGCGACGAUCCGUAACUGGUCUGAGAGGAUGAUCAGUCACACUGGAACUGAGACACGGUCCAGACUCCUACGGGAGGCAGCAGUGGGGAAUAUUGGACAAUGGGCGAAAGCCUGAUCCAGCCAUGCCGCGUGUGUGAAGAAGGUCUUCGGAUUGUAAAGCACUUUAAGUUGGGAGGAAGGGCAGUAAAUUAAU
RNAcentral lists this ribosomal RNA (453 nucleotides) under uncultured bacterium. RNAcentral describes it as "bacterial SSU rRNA". It matches the Rfam family "Bacterial small subunit ribosomal RNA", at positions 9 to 464 of the family's 1533-position model. The record is from RNAcentral.